Molecule: RNase P RNA, 314 nt
Filed under: Bacteroidota bacterium
Lineage: Bacteria; Pseudomonadati; Bacteroidota
Description: Bacteroidetes bacterium RNase P RNA component class A
Rfam family: Bacterial RNase P class A
About the family: Ribonuclease P (RNase P) is a ubiquitous endoribonuclease, found in archaea, bacteria and eukarya as well as chloroplasts and mitochondria. Its best characterised activity is the generation of mature 5'-ends of tRNAs by cleaving the 5'-leader elements of precursor-tRNAs.
Source: RNAcentral
UGGGCAGGCCGCCUUAUCGAUCCACCUUUGGUGGGUAGGAAAGUCCGGACACCAUAGGGAAGCAUAGCGGCUAACGGCCGUCAUCCGCCUCUGGCGGAUAGGACCAGUGCAACAGAAAGGAUGUACAGAUAAUGCUGUAGUGAAAUCAGGUAAACUCUAUGCGGUGAAAUGCCACGUAUACCUGGGCUUGAGAGUUCCCGCUCGAUCCAGGAGGGUAGGCAGAUAAAACGUUUUGGCAACAAAACGUUCAGAUAAAUGAUAAGGCCCUUGACCUGGUCAAGGGACAGAAUCCGGCUUAUAGGCCUGCUUUUUUA